RNAcentral lists this ribosomal RNA (253 nucleotides) under uncultured bacterium. RNAcentral describes it as "partial 16S ribosomal RNA". It matches the Rfam family "Bacterial small subunit ribosomal RNA", at positions 524 to 776 of the family's 1533-position model. The record is from RNAcentral.
UACAGAGGUCUCAAGCGUUGUUCGGAUUCAUUGGGCGUAAAGGGUGCGUAGGUGGCGUGGUAAGUCGGGUGUGAAAUUUCGGAGCUUAACUCCGAAACUGCAUUCGAUACUGCCGUGCUUGAGGACUGGAGAGGAGACUGGAAUUUACGGUGUAGCAGUGAAAUGCGUAGAGAUCGUAAGGAAGACCAGUGGCGAAGGCGGGUCUCUGGACAGUUCCUGACACUGAUGCACGAAGGCCAGGGGAGCAAACGGG